RNAcentral lists this ribosomal RNA (433 nucleotides) under uncultured bacterium. RNAcentral's name for it is "partial 16S ribosomal RNA". It matches the Rfam family "Bacterial small subunit ribosomal RNA", at positions 29 to 507 of the family's 1533-position model. The record is from RNAcentral.
AACGAACGCUGGCGGCAUGCCUAACACAUGCAAGUCGAACGAGACCUUCGGGUCUAGUGGCGCACGGGUGCGUAACGCGUGGGAACCUGCCCUUAGGUUCGGAAUAACUCCCCGAAAGGUGUGCUAAUACCGGAUAAUGUCUUCGGACCAAAGAUUUAUCGCCUUUGGAUGGGCCCGCGUUGGAUUAGCUAGUUGGUAGGGUAAAAGCCUACCAAGGCGACGAUCCAUAGCUGGUCUGAGAGGAUGAUCAGCCACACUGGGACUGAGACACGACCCAGACUCCUACGGGAGGCAGCAGUGGGGAAUAUUGGACAAUGGGCGAAAGCCUGAUCCAGCAAUGCCGCGUGAGUGAUGAAGGCCUUAGGGUUGUAAAGCUCUUUUACACGGGAUGAUAAUGACAGUACCGGGAGAAUAAGCUCCGGCUAACUACGUG